UUAAGUUCAGCGGGUAUUCCUACCUGAUCCGAGGUCAACAUUCAGAAGUUGGGGGUUUAACGGCUUGGCCGCGCCGCGUUCCAGUUGCGAGGUGUUAGCUACUACGCAAUGGAGGCUGCAGCGAGACCGCCACUAGAUUUCGGGGCCGGGCUGGAGUACAGCCCGAUCCCCAACACCAAACCCGGGGGCUUGAGGGUUGA
RNAcentral lists this unclassified non-coding RNA (200 nucleotides) under Fusarium sp. RNAcentral describes it as "partial internal transcribed spacer 2". The record is from RNAcentral. Lineage: Eukaryota; Fungi; Ascomycota; Sordariomycetes; Hypocreales; Nectriaceae.